AGAGCCUCACGUGACUGGCGAGAAAAUGUGGGAUUACCACAGGGAAGCGUGAGAGCAACAAUAGCCGCUCGCCUGGGCUGUAUCC
This 85-nucleotide non-coding RNA is filed under the name Desulfobaculum bizertense. RNAcentral describes it as "Desulfovibrio bizertensis ZTP sequence". It matches the Rfam family "ZMP/ZTP riboswitch aptamer (pfl RNA motif)". Rfam says of the family: Previously known as pfl RNA. ZMP is also known as AICAR. RNAcentral also lists the same sequence under 1 other name. The record is from RNAcentral. Lineage: Bacteria; Pseudomonadati; Thermodesulfobacteriota; Desulfovibrionia; Desulfovibrionales; Desulfovibrionaceae.